This 444-nucleotide ribosomal RNA is filed under the name uncultured bacterium. Its description in RNAcentral is "SSU rRNA". It matches the Rfam family "Bacterial small subunit ribosomal RNA", at positions 26 to 518 of the family's 1533-position model. The record is from RNAcentral.
AGAGCGAACGCUGGCGGCAGGCCUAAUACAUGCAAGUCGAACGGAUCCUUCGGGAUUAGUGGCGGACGGGUGAGUAACACGUGGGAACGUGCCCUUUGGUUCGGAACAACUCAGGGAAACUUGAGCUAAUACCGAAUGUGCCCUUCGGGGGAAAGAUUUAUCGCCAUUGGAGCGGCCCGCGUCUGAUUAGCUAGUUGGUGAGGUAAAGGCUCACCAAGGCGACGAUCAGUAGCUGGUCUGAGAGGAUGAUCAGCCACACUGGGACUGAGACACGGCCCAGACUCCUACGGGAGGCAGCAGUAGGGAAUCUUGCGCAAUGGGCGAAAGCCUGACGCAGCCAUGCCGCGUGAAUGAUGAAGGUCUUAGGAUUGUAAAAUUCUUUCAGCGGGACGAUAAUGACGGUACCCGCAGAAGAAGCCCGGCUAACUUCGCGCCAGCAGCCGC